This 541-nucleotide transfer RNA is filed under the name uncultured Prochlorococcus sp. RNAcentral describes it as "partial 16S-23S ribosomal RNA intergenic spacer". The stretch from base 212 to 284 matches the Rfam family "tRNA". The record is from RNAcentral. Lineage: Bacteria; Bacillati; Cyanobacteriota; Cyanophyceae; Synechococcales; Prochlorococcaceae.
CAGGGAGACAACAAAAUGUUUAAAAUUAUUAUUUUGUCACCUUAGGUCGAUCGGUAUCUCACGUUCUUAAUUUGUUAAGAAUUUCAUUUCCUAAGUUUUUCUAGGUCACACCCAUUAUUUUUCCUGGGCCAUUAGCUCAGGUGGUUAGAGCGCACCCCUGAUAAGGGUGAGGUCCCUGGUUCAAGUCCAGGAUGGCCCAUAUCUCUAUGUUGGGGGUAUAGCUCAGUUGGUAGAGCGCCUGCUUUGCAAGCAGGAUGUCAGCGGUUCGAGUCCGCUUACCUCCACUGAUUACCACCUCUUCCAUAACUGGUAGAAAGGAAAUGUUUUGAGUUGUGAUUAUUAUUCUGAACGAAUCUAGCUUCCUAAUGAAAUCAUUAAGAUGCUGGACUCAUUGAAUUAAUUUCAUUGUUUUCAGAGAACCUUGACAACUGCAUAGAUUUUUUUAAAGACAAUAAGCAUCUUUAAUGAUGCAGAUUUAUUAUUUGUGCGAAUGCAUUAAUAACAAUUCUAUUAAGCUGAUGCUUCAAUUUUUGAAGUUAUU